GCGGGCUGCCCAUUUAGAUGCUUGACAGGUCAGUAUGAACUAAGUAAAUGGGUGACUUUAUCUCCUCUUCCGCUCUGAAAUGGCCGUCAAGACUCCCUUUCCAUAUCACUGCUCAUCACGAUUUCAUUUCAUUAAGACCGAAUGGCAGAUCACUCAAUGACUCUGCAAGACCAAUAGUUCACCCAAAGCUUUCACAGCGGAUGCCUACCAGCAUAACAGCCCGAUCCACCAUAAUAUAUUUUAUGACAACCAGACUGACUACUGUAGGUUACCUAUUGUGAUUACUUACUGACCUGCACCAAAAACUAGCUUGAGGGAUAGCGGCGAUCUCUGACCCCGUUGCAAACUUAAGGAGGUCCCACGAUGCCCUGGUCUUCAUGAAUCUUUUAGGUAGGGGGAGUCUGGAGUUCAACGUUUCUGCGAACUGGAGAAAUAAUAAGCUGCAUGAUUAGCGCUACUAAAAAUAUCAGUAUGGCCAGAAGAAGCAAGGUGGUGUUCGCAUGUUCAGGGGCUGAUCGCUGUAACAAAGACCAUUCAUGCUGUCAGGAGGAUGAUAACGUCAUCCUAGAUCCUUUACAUCCCAUACGAGACUCCCGUUUCACUGCUGUCGUUCCCAAGAGCCCUGCACAAGUCAGAAACACAGGUUUGAAAAAGUUGAGUUUGGAAAAGAAAUGGAAAACAUCCCUUGCUUUUGAACUUCUCAAGGUGCACAGCCACACCUU
Non-coding RNA from Misgurnus anguillicaudatus (oriental weatherfish), 722 nucleotides. The record is from RefSeq and is a predicted model, not a curated record. NCBI's taxonomy places the organism in Eukaryota, Metazoa, Chordata, Actinopteri, Cypriniformes, Cobitidae.